GAUUGAACGCUGGCGGCAGGCCUACCACAUGCAAGUCGAGCGGAUGAAGGGAGCCUGCUCCUGGAUUCAGCGGCGGACGGGUGAGUAAUGCCUAGGAAUCUGCCUGGUAGUGGGGGAUAACGUCCGGAAACGGGCGCUAAUACCGCAUACGUCCUGAGGGAGAAAGUGGGGGAUCUUCGGACCUCACGCUAUCAGAUGAGCCUAGGUCGGAUUAGCUAGUUGGUGGGGUAAAGGCCUACCAAGGCGACGAUCCGUAACUGGUCUGAGAGGAUGAUCAGUCACACUGGAACUGAGACACGGUCCAGACUCCUACGGGAGGCAGCAGUGGGGAAUAUUGGACAAUGGGCGAAAGCCUGAUCCAGCCAUGCCGCGUGUGUGAAGAAGGUCUUCGGAUUGUAAAGCACUUUAAGUUGGGAGGAAGGGCAGUAAGUUAAUACCUUGCUGUUUUGACGUUACCAACAGAAUAAGCACCGGCUAACUUCGUG
This 485-nucleotide ribosomal RNA is filed under the name uncultured bacterium. RNAcentral describes it as "partial 16S ribosomal RNA". It matches the Rfam family "Bacterial small subunit ribosomal RNA", at positions 27 to 507 of the family's 1533-position model. The record is from RNAcentral.